GGAACAUUUAGAUUGUUUUUCUGUGGUACCAACACAGCUGCCCUCUUUUACCACUUUGUCUUAAUCUGUGGCAGUGCUCAAUGCAGAAGCUGGCUCAAGAGGUAAGAAAUUAAAUGACCUUUCCUAACCCAUUCAAGAGAAAGAGAUAGAUGCAUAAUACGAUGAGGCACUGCUGGUUUAGUUGUCUUAUCCAUCCCAUGACUUGUUUCUUCUCAUUCACAGAAGAGCCUGGCAAGAAGACAACGACAGCUCCUGCUGGUCGCAGAAGUAAUUUACCAGGAAGAGACCUAUUUCUUGUAUUCCGUCUUCCUUCAGGGAUCACCAUUUGUUUUAAAUGGAGUAGAGGAACUUUGAAUUUCCUUGAUUGCCAUGUGUUCUGCAAUGCUUGCUGAGGUUUUACAGUUGAGAAGCUCAGUCUACAACAUAAUAAAACCCUAAGUGAGACAUGGAAAGAAAGAAGCCAACCCUAUGGACAGCAGAACUGACAGGAUUGAACAGCUCUCCAGCACACCAAGG
RNAcentral lists this long non-coding RNA (516 nucleotides) under Anser brachyrhynchus (Pink-footed goose). Its description in RNAcentral is "lncRNA (ENSABRG00000001197.1)". Lineage: Eukaryota; Metazoa; Chordata; Aves; Anseriformes; Anatidae. The record is from RNAcentral.